RNAcentral lists this long non-coding RNA (2655 nucleotides) under Canis lupus familiaris (dog). RNAcentral describes it as "lncRNA (ENSCAFG00845004825.1)". Lineage: Eukaryota; Metazoa; Chordata; Mammalia; Carnivora; Canidae. The record is from RNAcentral.
UUUUUGGAAAGACUAUCUUUUAUAUAUUGCUUUUACUCCUUUACCAAAGAUCAGUUAACUGUAUCUAUCCAGAUAUAUUUAUAGGCUCCCUAUUCUGUUGCAUUAAUCUAUUUGUCUAUUCUUUCAGUACCAACUGUCUUGAUUAUUGUAGCUUCAUCGUAAAUCCUGAAGUUGGGUAGUUUCAGUCCUCUGACUUUCUACUUUUCCUUCAAUAUUGUUUUGGUUAUUCUGAGUUUUUUGCCUCUUUCUAUAAAUUUUAGAAUCAGUUUAUCCAUAUCCGCAAGAUAACUUGUUGGGAUUUUGAUUUUGACUGUAUUGAAUUUAUACAAGUUGGGAAGAACUGACAUCUUGAUAAUAUUGAAUACUUCUCCAUUUGCUUAGUUUAUAAACUAAAUUAGUUUAUUUAUUUCUUUGAUUUCAUUCAUCAGAGUUUUGUAUUUUCCUCAUAAAGAUCUCGUCCAGCUUUUAUUAGAUUUAUACCUAAGUGGGGUGCCUGAGUGGCUCAGCCAGUUAAGCGUCUGCCUUCAGCUCAGAUCAUGAUCCCAGGGUCCUGGGGUUGAGCCCUGCAUCCGGCUCCCUCUUGGCAGGGAGUCUGCUUCUCCUUCUCCUUCUGCCACUCACCCUGCUUGUGCUCAUUCUCGCUACUUCAAAUUAAAAAGAAAAGAUUUAUACUUAAAUAUUCAUUUUUGGGUGUGCUAAUAAAAAUGCUGGUGUUAUUACUUUCAAAUUCCACUUAUAAUUUCUGGUAUAUAGAAAAGUGAUUGACUUUUUGACAUUAGCUUUAUAUCCUAUUAAGCAUUAUAUUAGUUCUAGGAGGGUUUUUUUUUCGUAUUGAUUCUUUCUGAUUUCCUACAUAGACAAUCAUAUCAUCUGCAGACAAAGACAGUUUUAUUUCUUCUUUCCGAAUUUAUAUAUCUUUUAUUUCUUUUUCUUGUCUUAGUACAUUAAUUAGGAAUUACAGUACAAUUUUUUUAAAAAGAUUUCAUUUAUUUAUUCAUCAGAGACACACAGAGAGAGGCAGAGGGAGAAGCAGACUCCAAGCAGGGAGCCCAAUGUGGGACUCGAUCCCAGGUCUCCAGGAUCAGGCCCCAGGCCAAAGGCGGCGCUAAACCACUGAGCCACCCGGGCUGCCCGGAAUUACAGUACAAUUUUUAAAAGCAGCAGUGAAAGGGAACUUCUUAUCUUUUUUUUUUUUUUUUUUUUUUAGUUUAAAUUCUAGUUAGUUGACAUACAGUUCGAUAUUGGUUUCAGGAGUUAGAAUUCAGUGGUUCAUCACCUACGUAUGAUAUCCAGUGCUCAUCUGAACAAUUAAGUGCCCUCCUUAAUGCCCAUCACUCAUCUAUCUUCCUUACCUUACUCUGAUCUUUGUGGGAAAGUUUCAAGUUUAUCACCAUUAAAUAUGAUGUUAACUAUAGGGGUUUUUUUUGGUAUACUUUUUUAUUGGAGUUCGAUUUGCCAAUAUAUAGCAUAACACCCAGUGCUCAUCCCGUCAAGUGCUCCCCUCAGUGCCUGUCACCCAGUCACCCCAAUCCUCCCCGGCCCACCUCCCUUUCCACCAUUACAGGGGUUUUUUGUAGAUGUGCUUUAUCAAGCUGAGGAAGUUCCCUUCUAUUUCUAGUUUACUAAGCACUUUUAUCACAAAUGAGUACUGGAUUUUGUCAAAUGCUUUUUCUGCAUGUAUUAAUAUGAUCAUGUGAUUUUCAUUCUUUAGCCUCUUGAUAUGAUGGAUUACAUUAAUUCAUUUUUAAAUGGUGAACCAGCCUUACAUACUUGGGAUAAAUCCUUCUUGUUCAUGGUAUAUAAUUCUCUUUUAUCCAUUGUUGAAUUCUCUAAUAUUUUGUUGAGGAUUUUUCCAUCUAUGUUCAUGAGAAAUAUUAUACUUUUCUUUUCUUAUAAUGUCUUUGAUUGUGGAAUUAGGGUUACACUGGCCUAAUGGAGUGAGGUAGUAAGUAUUCCCUCUGCUUCCAUUUUCUGAAAGAGAUUAUAGAAAAUUAGUAUAAUUUCUUCCUUAAAUGUUUGGUAGAAUUCACUAGUGAAUCCAUCUGGUUAAAUUAGUAUCCCAGAACAUAGAGCAAAAAAAGCAGAGAAGUGAAUUAUGAGAAGAAUGAAAAAAUGGAGAAGUAAUAUAAAAGAAUAUAAAUCUACUCAGUAUGAUUUUUUUAAGGUUAAGAAUUUAUCCCCCAAAUGGAGGAAAAUUUUCCAUACCUGUAGACAAAUAAAAGGACACAUGGAAGGACCUAUAAGGUACCCAGCACAAUUAGUGUAAAAAAUGCUCACACUUAAAUAUAUCCGUGUAAAAUGUCUUAGGCCAAAAAUACUUCAUGAUUAUGUGGUGGUGAGUAAGCAGGACAAGUUAGACUUGCUGGAGUAAAAAUCAGGUUUGCAUCAAACUUUUUUCCUUGGGAUAUGAGAGAAACACCUUUAGAACACUGAUAGAAAUUGAUUUUGAAUAAUUCUAAGCCCACCAAAAGCUAUCAUUGAAAUGAGAGAAUAAGAUGGUAAAAAUAGAAUCUUUAUCUGAAUAUAUGAUGCUUCUUGAAAUAAUAAUUUGAGAAUUUAUUCCAGCAGGAUAUAGACAAGAGUAAGACAAGAAAUUCAAAUAACAAUUGACCAAGCCCAGUUGCUUAAUACAAAGCAAGAUUGGAAGAAAAAAAA